AUCCAGACUUAGACAAUGCUAGAUAAAUGAAAAACUUAUAAAACUUUUGAGGGAAAUUUGUGCAUUUCUCUCAAAAGUUUUGUCUUUCAUGAUGCAUGAGAGAUGAUAAACUUGCUUCUUCAUAAGAAUUCACAAUUCAGUUAUAAACACUUUUUUUUUAUAAAAAAAAAAAAAUUCAGAGGAUCCUAUACAGAAUUAUAAAAAUGACUAUUUACAUAAUAACAACAAAGCGGCUGUGGAAAGAUGGGCUACAGGAAAGCAUAACAAAUAUUCAUUGUUCUACAAAUUUGUCAUAUACUGCUAUUCAGAAAUAGUUCACUUUUUAAUAAAGAACAGAGUAUGACUUAUACAUAUUAUUGGAUAUCAAAAAUCUUCAUGUAAACUGAUAUAUCUCACAAGGGAUUGUUUUGAGUAACCACUUCAAAACCUUCAUAGGCUGGCAAUCAAUAGUGAUGGGAGUUAACAAUGUUAAAGGAAUUCAAAGUGUCAGUCCUGGAUCCCUUCCGAAGUUUCGAGUGUUGGAAUCAGAAUUGAACUUGAUCCUUCAAAUUAAGUGAAUCCUUUAUAUAUAUAUUAAAAUCAUUCCAAGGAUUUCUGCAUUGGUUAUAACUCUGUAAAAUUGAAUGUUUUGUCUGUCAUAAUACUUGUUCCAAAUAUAUCGUAUUUUUUUUUAAUAGCAGUUAGUGUAAGACCAAUUGUUAAACUAAUAUAUUGCAUUUUAGAUACAAUAUAUAGUUCAACAAUUAACACAGGUACUUCGACUUAUGUAUAUCUGGUUUUGCAUAAAGUCGAAUUUAAAGUAUAGAUUGUAAACAUGUUGCAUUACAAAUAUAAUAAUAAAAUGUUGGUUUUAAGACAUUGCUUCAUUUAAAACAGAUAGGUGAGCUUUUGUGUAUUGUUUUGUCGUUGUUAAAUAUUCUGUUGUUUGAUCUUUCCUCGUGGUAUUAUCUCCUAGUCGGGAAACAAUAUGGUGCCAUCAUACUGUAUAGAUGCAUUCCAAUAUUCUACUAGCUUCAGUAGUUUUUCUUCAGAAACUGUUGAUUUUUUUUUUUAACAUCUCUGAUCAGCUUUAAGAAUCUUGUCUACUUCACUAUAUAUUAGAGUAACGAUCCGAACGGUCAAACAUUGCGAUUUUUAAUCUAAGAAUGGAUGAAGAUUCGAAAAUAUAACAUGCAUGAGAGAUAAUAAACUUGAAAAGUUAGUUUCUUGUAUUAGAUUAACUUAGAUGAACCUAUAAAAGUGUUCUGAUAAAACGAGAUCAGCAGAAUUUUUGACUGUGAUCCAACAUUGAUUUUAGGAAUUUUUAACCCUUCUAUUCUAAAAAGAAGAAAAAACCUUCCAGAUUUCUGCAAGAUGAAACCAGUGUGAGCAAAAAAAAUACACUCCAUCCUCUUACUUCAUCCCAUCCUUGAGGAUAUUAAUACAGAAAGAACCCAGCAUGUCCCUAACAUUUUGCAUUAGUAAAAAUACAUAACUCGAUUAAAACCAGGUUAUACUUUAGUAAUUCAGAUCAUCUACUUUUAACAUGCAGAAAUGUUUGGCAGAUUAUCAUGCAAGCAUAUGAUAACGAAUUAUAAGUAUCAAUUUGUAUUGCCAGAAGAGUUUUUUGUAGUAUGUUAAUGAGGUUGGCCAGAACCUUACGUAAUUUAAUUUCAAAUCUUUAUUUCCUUCUCUUGAGCCGGAAAUUGCCUUUAGAAGCAUUGUUACAUUUUUUUAAUCUAUCAUAUCCCAGAAUAAGCAGAAGCAAGCAGCCAAAAGGGUGUUGGACUUCCAAUGGGAAGCAUACUAGUAGAAUUAGUAGUCGGAAUUCUUCAAACUAAAGUUAUACCCAGUACUCUGCAUAUAAGGUAGCAGACUUCUAUAUUUCUUCUCCGAUAGUCGUGGAACUAUAUGAAAAACUAGCAUUUAGUUACCAAACACACACUAUAAUAAUAAAUGCAGAUUGAGAGUAUAGCAAUGUUAUAGAUGCUGUCGAACGUGUAAAGGAUAUGGCAUCUCGUAAUCGGAAAGGGGGAGAAGAAUAUAGCAUGCAAACAUUUUAAGUCCACUAGAUAUGCUUCAGAAGUGCAUUCCUUAGGGUAGAAUUUUCCGGAAAAGUUUUGAAGGUAUCACUUAACGUAGAAAAGUAAUAUCGUUCCUUAAUAGUUUAAAAAUAGAACUCAUACCCAGUACACAAGAGAAAAAUGCGCUUUAUAGAAUCUUGAGGAAUCUUGAUUUAGAGAAGAGUUUUUUUGUUGAGAGCAUAACGAUAAUGUGAAUAGAGAACAAACUUCCACUGCCUUAUCCAUAAGACAUUUUGUAUAUCUACAUCCUCUUCUAAAUCUGCACACUGAGAAGUAUGUGAAGGCGAUGAUGACAGCACAAAGAAAAUAAAUAUCAUAAACAAAGUCGAUCCAGGCUGUUGGAAGCGGAACUGGAACAUAGAUCUUGAAAGUGAUCAAAGAUGAUGAUUAUUAUUAUAAGCGGAAGGGUUAGUGAAUCAAGGUGCUAAAUGCUUCCGGAGAAAGUAAUAACUGGGCUCUCUAAAUAAAAAAAAACAACAGAAAAAUUUAGGGUAAUACAUUUACCAUAAUAAUAAUGCUACACGAGGCUGCAGGACUCGCCCAUGCGUUAAAACGUCACCUGAGAAGAGUAACCAUCAGAUUAGACCUGGAUAUCUUUCUAACGUAAUUUUUUUUUAAUUCCACGAAGUUUAUAACUCAGUUUAAUGGAAUUUUUAUGUAUUAUAGAAUGUGUAAGACGAGUGCUGCUGAUAAUCUGGUCGUAAGCUUUACUGGAGAAAUAAAUGAAUGACUCUACUAUACGCAUCUUGUUAACAUAAAUUUUACCUGUUUUGUCUGGAUUUCAAUUCUGUGUUGAAAGCAUAGCAUUAAAUCGUUAAAUUAUUUUACACUAUACACUUUUUUUUAUAUUAUUGUUGCU
RNAcentral lists this long non-coding RNA (2922 nucleotides) under Androctonus crassicauda. The record is from RNAcentral. Lineage: Eukaryota; Metazoa; Arthropoda; Arachnida; Scorpiones; Buthidae.